GAUGAACGCUGGCGGCGUGCCUAACACAUGCAAGUCGAGCGAUUUACUUCGGUAAAGAGCGGCGGACGGGUGAGUAACGCGUGGGUAACCUGCCCUGUACACACGGAUAACAUACCGAAAGGUAAGCUAAUACGAGAUAAUAUACUUUUAUCGCAUGGUAGAAGUAUCAAAGCUUUUGCGGUACAGGAUGGACCCGCGUCUGAUUAGCUAGUUGGUAAGGUAACGGCUUACCAAGGCGACGAUCAGUAGCCGACCUGAGAGGGUGAUCGGCCACAUUGGAACUGAGACACGGUCCAAACUCCUACGGGAGGCAGCAGUGGGGAAUAUUGCACAAUGGGCGAAAGCCUGAUGCAGCAACGCCGCGUGAGCGAUGAAGGCCUUCGGGUCGUAAAGCUCUGUCCUCAAGGAAGAUAAUGACGGUACUUGAGGAGGAAGCCCCGGCUAACUACGUGCCAGCAGCCGCGGUAA
Molecule: ribosomal RNA, 468 nt
Filed under: uncultured bacterium
Lineage: Bacteria
Description: bacterial SSU rRNA
Rfam family: Bacterial small subunit ribosomal RNA
Source: RNAcentral